RNAcentral lists this ribosomal RNA (983 nucleotides) under Escherichia coli. RNAcentral describes it as "partial 23S ribosomal RNA". It matches the Rfam family "Bacterial large subunit ribosomal RNA", at positions 139 to 1159 of the family's 2925-position model. Lineage: Bacteria; Pseudomonadati; Pseudomonadota; Gammaproteobacteria; Enterobacterales; Enterobacteriaceae. The record is from RNAcentral.
UUCGUCACACUAUCAUUAACUGAAUCCAUAGGUUAAUGAGGCGAACCGGGGGAACUGAAACAUCUAAGUACCCCGAGGAAAAGAAAUCAACCGAGAUUCCCCCAGUAGCGGCGAGCGAACGGGGAGCAGCCCAGAGCCUGAAUCAGUGUGUGUGUUAGUGGAAGCGUCUGGAAAGGCGCGCGAUACAGGGUGACAGCCCCGUACACAAAAAUGCACAUACUGUGAGCUCGAUGAGUAGGGCGGGACACGUGGUAUCCUGUCUGAAUAUGGGGGGACCAUCCUCCAAGGCUAAAUACUCCUGACUGACCGAUAGUGAACCAGUACCGUGAGGGAAAGGCGAAAAGAACCCCGGCGAGGGGAGUGAAAAAGAACCUGAAACCGUGUACGUACAAGCAGUGGGAGCACAGAGCAAUCUGUGUGACUGCGUACCUUUUGUAUAAUGGGUCAGCGACUUAUAUUCUGUAGCAAGGUUAACCGAAUAGGGGAGCCGAAGGGAAACCGAGUCUUAACUGGGCGUUAAGUUGCAGGGUAUAGACCCGAAACCCGGUGAUCUAGCCAUGGGCAGGUUGAAGGUUGGGUAACACUAACUGGAGGACCGAACCGACUAAUGUUGAAAAAUUAGCGGAUGACUUGUGGCUGGGGGUGAAAGGCCAAUCAAACCGGGAGAUAGCUGGUUCUCCCCGAAAGCUAUUUAGGUAGCGCCUCGUGAAUUCAUCUCCGGGGGUAGAGCACUGUUUCGGCAAGGGGGUCAUCCCGACUUACCAACCCGAUGCAAACUGCGAAUACCGGAGAAUGUUAUCACGGGAGACACACGGCGGGUGCUAACGUCCGUCGUGAAGAGGGAAACAACCCAGACCGCCAGCUAAGGUCCCAAAGUCAUGGUUAAGUGGGAAACGAUGUGGGAAGGCCCAGACAGCCAGGAUGUUGGCUUAGAAGCAGCCAUCAUUUAAAGAAAGCGUAAUAGCUCACUGGUCGAGUCGGCC